Molecule: ribosomal RNA, 460 nt
Filed under: uncultured Actinomycetes bacterium
Lineage: Bacteria; Bacillati; Actinomycetota; Actinomycetes
Description: bacterial SSU rRNA
Rfam family: Bacterial small subunit ribosomal RNA
Source: RNAcentral
GACGAACGCUGGCGGCGUGCUUAACACAUGCAAGUCGAACGAUGAACCACUUCGGUGGGGAUUAGUGGCGAACGGGUGAGUAACACGUGGGCAAUCUGCCCUGCACUCUGGGACAAGCCCUGGAAACGGGGUCUAAUACCGGAUACUGACCCGCUUGGGCAUCCAAGCGGUUCGAAAGCUCCGGCGGUGCAGGAUGAGCCCGCGGCCUAUCAGCUAGUUGGUGAGGUAAUGGCUCACCAAGGCGACGACGGGUAGCCGGCCUGAGAGGGCGACCGGCCACACUGGGACUGAGACACGGCCCAGACUCCUACGGGAGGCAGCAGUGGGGAAUAUUGCACAAUGGGCGAAAGCCUGAUGCAGCGACGCCGCGUGAGGGAUGACGGCCUUCGGGUUGUAAACCUCUUUCAGCAGGGAAGAAGCGAAAGUGACGGUACCUGCAGAAAAAGCGCCGGCUAACUAC